GAUGAACGCUGGCGGCGUGCCUAAUACAUGCAAGUCGAGCGAACAGACGAGGAGCUUGCUCCUCUGACGUUAGCGGCGGACGGGUGAGUAACACGUGGAUAACCUACCUAUAAGACUGGGAUAACUUCGGGAAACCGGAGCUAAUACCGGAUAAUAUAUUGAACCGCAUGGUUCAAUAGUGAAAGACGGUUUUGCUGUCACUUAUAGAUGGAUCCGCGCCGCAUUAGCUAGUUGGUAAGGUAACGGCUUACCAAGGCAACGAUGCGUAGCCGACCUGAGAGGGGGGUAGGCCACACUGGAACUGAGACACGGUCCAGACUCCUACGGGAGGCAGCAGUAGGGAAUCUUCCGCAAUGGGCGAAAGCCUGACGGAGCAACGCCGCGUGAGUGAUGAAGGUCUUCGGAUCGUAAAACUCUGUUAUUAGGGAAGAACAAAUGUGUAAGUAACUAUGCACGUCUUGACGGUACCUAAUCAGAAAGCCACGGCUAACUACGUG
This 497-nucleotide ribosomal RNA is filed under the name uncultured bacterium. RNAcentral describes it as "partial 16S ribosomal RNA". It matches the Rfam family "Bacterial small subunit ribosomal RNA", at positions 28 to 507 of the family's 1533-position model. The record is from RNAcentral.